RNAcentral lists this ribosomal RNA (450 nucleotides) under uncultured bacterium. RNAcentral's name for it is "partial 16S ribosomal RNA". It matches the Rfam family "Bacterial small subunit ribosomal RNA", at positions 354 to 796 of the family's 1533-position model. The record is from RNAcentral.
GUGGGGAAUAUUGGACAAUGGGCGAAAGCCUGAUCCAGCCAUACCGCGUGGGUGAAGAAGGCCUUCGGGUUGUAAAGCCCUUUUGUUGGGAAAGAAAAGCAGCCGGUUAAUACCCGGUUGUUCUGACGGUACCCAAAGAAUAAGCACCGGCUAACUUCGUGCCAGCAGCCGCGGUAAUACGAAGGGUGCAAGCGUUACUCGGAAUUACUGGGCGUAAAGCGUGCGUAGGUGGUUGUUUAAGUCUGUCGUGAAAGCCCUGGGCUCAACCUGGGAACUGCGAUGGAAACUGGGCAACUAGAGUGUGGUAGAGGGUAGCGGAAUUCCUGGUGUAGCAGUGAAAUGCGUAGAUAUCAGGAGGAACAUCCAUGGCGAAGGCAGCUACCUGGGCCAACACUGACACUGAGGCACGAAAGCGUGGGGAGCAAACAGGAUUAGAUACCCUAGUAGUCC